Molecule: ribosomal RNA, 253 nt
Filed under: uncultured bacterium
Lineage: Bacteria
Description: partial 16S ribosomal RNA
Rfam family: Bacterial small subunit ribosomal RNA
Source: RNAcentral
UACGUAGGGUGCAAGCGUUGUCCGGAAUUAUUGGGCGUAAAGAGCUCGUAGGCGGUCUGUCACGUCGGCUGUGAAAACCCGAGGCUCAACCUCGGGCCUGCAGUCGAUACGGGCAAACUAGAGUACUGCAGGGGAGACUGGAAUUCCUGGUGUAGCGGUGAAAUGCGCAGAUAUCAGGAGGAACACCGGUGGCGAAGGCGGUUCUCUGGGCAUUACCUGACGCUGAGGAGCGAAAGCGUGGGGAGCGAACAGG